CCUGAAUCAAUGUUAUGAUGAUAUUCACACAUUCUCUGACAGAAUGAAGAGAAGGAACAGGAAAUGACAAGACACACUACUGUAAAUUCCUAGUAAAAAUGUUUUAUCAAUAAAUGUAAAUGAAUCAAAAAGUAUGUGAGACAAACUAGCUGCUCCCUAUUUGAUUGUGCACUGCUAAUAAUUACACACUAACAUACAGUAGACUGACCUGUAAAUAAACUAAAUAAAUAUAACGUAAUUAUAUUAUAUCAGAGGACAAUGCCCAAACAGUUUGAAUCCAUCACUUUUGCAAUGAGGAAAAUACAUCUUUUGUACACACCCCAAAAUAGUUAACAUAACAAGACUCAUUUUUACAGACCAACACUGUGAACUACUUUCAAGGCAAGUUUCCUAACACAAUCAAGAUCACAACACAGGAUGACACAGUGCUUUGCAAAGGUAUUCAGACCCUUAAAUAGUUCUCUCAUUAUACUAUAGGUACAAAUCCAAUUUUAAAGAAAAUAUGUUUUACAUUUUUAAUAAAAAUAAAAACGGCAUAUUCAAGUCUAGACAUUGAGUAUAUUAUAAAGCUAGCAUUGAAGCAAUUGCAGCUGCAAACCUGGCUCUAUAAAUGUCUUUUGUGGUAUGUACCAGCUUUUCACAGCUGCAUUAGGGUGUAAUUUUGUCCCAUUUUCCCCAGGCAGAUUGAUAUUUCAGGUUAGUCAGUGACUCUUGCACACCAAUGAUUUUCAAAUUGCGCCAGAGAUUCAUAAUUGGACUGAGAUCACGGCUUUGAGGGUGCUAUUGCAGGAAAUUUUCACCUUAGACCUUAGGCCACUCCAUUGUUAAACUGGGCAUGUGCGUAGGAUCAUUUAAUUUAUAAAACUAAUUUAUACUGAAAGAGCAAAAUCUAGGGAUCCGAAUAGCAUAAAAAAUUGUUGGUGGGCUUUUGUGACCUAGGCCAGUUUGCAACCACAUAGCAACAUGCUAAAAAUCACUUAGCAACCUAGCAUCAUAGCGAGUUUUACAUCACUGUAAAAAUCUAAUGCUGAAGUAAUAGCUUGUGCUACUGUGAUAUGUACAACCUUCUCAUUUAUGCAUUUCUUCUCACUUAAUUGUAAAGCGAUUUUACAAUUAAAAAUUUUUUAAAUGUUUUUUCUCUA
RNAcentral lists this long non-coding RNA (1142 nucleotides) under Sinocyclocheilus grahami. RNAcentral's name for it is "lncRNA (ENSSGRG00000012536.1)". The record is from RNAcentral. Lineage: Eukaryota; Metazoa; Chordata; Actinopteri; Cypriniformes; Cyprinidae.